AGGGAGAGGGAGUCAGGGAGAGGGAGACACAGAGAGUCAGGGAGAGAGAGAGAUGGGGAGAGGGAGAGAGAGAGACAGGGAGAGGGAGAGGGAGAGUCAGGGAGAGACGGGGAGAGGGAGAGAGAGAGAGAGUCACGGAGAGGGAGAGAGAGAGUCAGGGAGAGGGAGAGAGAGAGUCAGGGAGAGAGAGAGAGAGUCAGGGAGAGCGAGAGAGAGAGAGAGAGUCAGGGAGAGAGAGAGAGAGAGACUCAGGGAGAGAGAGAGAGUCAGGGAGAGAGAGAGAGAGUCAGUGAGAGAGAGAGAGAGAGAGUCAGGGAGAGAGAGAGAGAGAGAGAGGGAGAGAGAGAGAGAGAGGGAGAGAGAGAGAGAGAGAGUCAGGGAGAGAGAGAGAGAGAGUCAGGGAGAGAGAGAGAGAGAGUCAGGGAGAGAGAGAGAGUCAGGGAGAGAGAGAGAGUCAGGGAGAGAGAGACAGGGAGAGAGAGAGAGGGAGAGAGAGACAGAGGAGAGAGAGAGAGUCAGGGAGAGAGAGAGAGACAGGGAGAGAGAGAGAGAGAGAGAGAGUCAGGGAGAGAGAGAGAGUCAGGGAGAGAGAGAGAGAGAGUCAGGGAGAGAGAGAGAGAGUCAGGGAGAGAGAGAGAGAGAGGGAGAGAGAGAGAGAGUCAGGGAGAGAGAGAGAGACAGGGAGAGAGAGAGAGUCAGGGAGAGAGAGAGAGUCAGGGAGAGAGAGAGAGACAGGGAGAGAGAGAGACAGGGAGAGAGAGACAGAGAGAGAGUCAGGGAGAGAGAGAGAGAG
Molecule: long non-coding RNA, 793 nt
Organism: Oncorhynchus tshawytscha (Chinook salmon)
Lineage: Eukaryota; Metazoa; Chordata; Actinopteri; Salmoniformes; Salmonidae
Source: Ensembl